CUAUGCCUACGGGACGCAGCAGUCGGGAAUAUUGCGCAAUGGAGGAAACUCUGACGCAGUGACGCCGCGUAUAGGAAGAAGGUUUUCGGAUUGUAAACUAUUGUCGUUAGGGAAGAUAAAAGACUGUACCUAAGGAGGAAGCCCCGGCUAACUAUGUGCCAGCAGCCGCGGUAAUACAUAGGGAGCAAGCGUUAUCCGGAAUUAUUGGGUGUAAAGGGAACGCAGGCGGUCUUUUAAGUCUGAUGUGAAAGCCUUCGGCUUAACCGGAGUAGUGCAUUGGAAACUGGGAGACUUGAGUGCAGAAG
Molecule: ribosomal RNA, 305 nt
Filed under: uncultured bacterium
Lineage: Bacteria
Description: bacterial SSU rRNA
Rfam family: Bacterial small subunit ribosomal RNA
Source: RNAcentral